This 251-nucleotide ribosomal RNA is filed under the name uncultured prokaryote. Its description in RNAcentral is "partial 16S ribosomal RNA". It matches the Rfam family "Bacterial small subunit ribosomal RNA", at positions 525 to 775 of the family's 1533-position model. The record is from RNAcentral.
ACGUAGGAGACGAGCGUUAUCCGGAAUUACUGGGCGUAAAGCGCGAGUAGGCGGAAGUGCAAGUCUUUUGUGAAAGCUCCUGGCUAAACUGGGAGAGGUCGAAAGAUACUGCACAUCUGGAGUAUGGAAGAGGGGUGCGGAAUUCCCGGUGUAGUGGUGAAAUGCGUAGAUAUCGGGAGGAACACCAGUGGCGAAGGCGGCAUCCUGGCCCUGUCCUGACGCUCAGGGGCGAAAGCGUGGGUAGCAAACCG